ACACGUGGGCAACCUGCCUGUAAGACUGGGAUAACUUCGGGAAACCGGAGCUAAUACCGGAUAAUCCUUUCCCUCACAUGAGGGAAAGCUGAAAGACGGUUUCGGCUGUCACUUACAGAUGGGCCCGCGGCGCAUUAGCUAGUUGGUGAGGUAACGGCUCACCAAGGCAACGAUGCGUAGCCGACCUGAGAGGGUGAUCGGCCACACUGGGACUGAGACACGGCCCAGACUCCUACGGGAGGCAGCAGUAGGGAAUCUUCCGCAAUGGACGAAAGUCUGACGGAGCAACGCCGCGUGAGCGAUGAAGGCCUUCGGGUCGUAAAGCUCUGUUGUCAGGGAAGAACAAGUACCGGAGUAACUGCCGGUACCUUGACGGUACCUGACCAGAAAGCCACGGCUAACUACGUGCCAGCAGCCGCGGUAAUACGUAGGUGGCAAGCGUUGUCCGGAAUUAUUGGGCGUAAAGCGCGCGCAGGCGGUUCCUUAAGUCUGAUGUGAAAGCCCCCGGCUCAACCGGGGAGGGUCAUUGGAAACUGGGGAACUUGAGUGCAGAAGAGGAGAGCGGAAUUCCACGUGUAGCGGUGAAAUGCGUAGAGAUGUGGAGGAACACCAGUGGCGAAGGCGGCUCUCUGGUCUGUAACUGACGCUGAGGCGCGAAAGCGUGGGGAGCGAACAGGAUUAGAUACCCUGGUAGUCCACGCCGUAAACGAUGAGUGCUAAGUGUUAGAGGGUUUCCGCCCUUUAGUGCUGCAGCAAACGCAUUAAGCACUCCGCCUGUGGGAGUACGGCCGCAAGGCUGAACUCAAAGGAAUUGACGGGGGCCCGCACAAGCGGUGGAGCAUGUGGUUUAAUUUCGAAGCAACGCGAAGAACCUUACCAGGUCUUGACA
RNAcentral lists this ribosomal RNA (889 nucleotides) under Bacillus sp. NCCP-1237. RNAcentral's name for it is "bacterial SSU rRNA". It matches the Rfam family "Bacterial small subunit ribosomal RNA", at positions 113 to 986 of the family's 1533-position model. The record is from RNAcentral. Lineage: Bacteria; Bacillati; Bacillota; Bacilli; Caryophanales; Bacillaceae.